Molecule: long non-coding RNA, 399 nt
Filed under: Linum usitatissimum (flax)
Lineage: Eukaryota; Viridiplantae; Streptophyta; Magnoliopsida; Malpighiales; Linaceae
Description: long non-coding RNA (LUSI_LNC004784)
Source: RNAcentral
UAAUACCCGGUGGGCGCCACCGCACUGUAUGGCGGAGUUCCGGCGACGACGUCGAAAACCCCAGGCUGCCCAGGUGUGGGAUUCACCGCAUCCAAUCCCAGCAUUAUCAGUCUCUGAUUCAUCGUCACGCCGUGAGUGCUAAAUCCAGGUACACCCAUCGUAACCUUCAUAAUGUUCUGCAUAUCCGGUCCCGCGGGGACCUUCACCUGAAUCGUAAUCUUGCCUUUGUACCCAAACUGCGCAAUCGCAGCUCCGUUCAAGAUCUCAGGCUUCUUGUCCGCCAGCGCCGGGUCCAGGUAAGGCGGGGAGAAUUUCUCAACCCUCAAUUCCGUCGGGAACAUGGCCUUUUCGUAGAUGUAGCCGUUAUUCGUGUUGCUUCCGGCAAUCAAGACCCUGCCG